GGGUUGUGAGGUUAAGCGACUAAGCGUACACGGUGGAUGCCCUGGCAGUCAGAGGCGAUGAAGGACGUGCUAAUCUGCGAUAAGCGUCGGUAAGGUGAUAUGAACCGUUAUAACCGGCGAUUUCCGAAUGGGGAAACCCAGUGUGUUUCGACACACUAUCAUUAACUGAAUCCAUAGGUUAAUGAGGCGAACCGGGGGAACUGAAACAUCUAAGUACCCCGAGGAAAAGAAAUCAACCGAGAUUCCCCCAGUAGCGGCGAGCGAACGGGGAGCAGCCCAGAGCCUGAAUCAGUGUGUGUGUUAGUGGAAGCGUCUGGAAAGGCGCGCGAUACAGGGUGACAGCCCCGUACACAAAAAUGCACAUGCUGUGAGCUCGAUGAGUAGGGCGGGACACGUGGUAUCCUGUCUGAAUAUGGGGGGACCAUCCUCCAAGGCUAAAUACUCCUGACUGACCGAUAGUGAACCAGUACCGUGAGGGAAAGGCGAAAAGAACCCCGGCGAGGGGAGUGAAAAAGAACCUGAAACCGUGUACGUACAAGCAGUGGGAGCACGCUUAGGCGUGUGACUGCGUACCUUUUGUAUAAUGGGUCAGCGACUUAUAUUCUGUAGCAAGGUUAACCGAAUAGGGGAGCCGAAGGGAAACCGAGUCUUAACUGGGCGUUAAGUUGCAGGGUAUAGACCCGAAACCCGGUGAUCUAGCCAUGGGCAGGUUGAAGGUUGGGUAACACUAACUGGAGGACCGAACCGACUAAUGUUGAAAAAUUAGCGGAUGACUUGUGGCUGGGGGUGAAAGGCCAAUCAAACCGGGAGAUAGCUGGUUCUCCCCGAAAGCUAUUUAGGUAGCGCCUCGUGAAUUCAUCUCCGGGGGUAGAGCACUGUUUCGGCAAGGGGGUCAUCCCGACUUACCAACCCGAUGCAAACUGCGAAUACCGGAGAAUGUUAUCACGGGAGACACACGGCGGGUGCUAACGUCCGUCGUGAAGAGGGAAACAACCCAGACCGCCAGCUAAGGUCCCAAAGUCAUGGUUAAGUGGGAAACGAUGUGGGAAGGCCCAGACAGCCAGGAUGUUGGCUUAGAAGCAGCCAUCAUUUAAAGAAAGCGUAAUAGCUCACUGGUCGAGUCGGCCUGCGCGGAAGAUGUAACGGGGCUAAACCAUGCACCGAAGCUGCGGCAGCGACACUAUGUGUUGUUGGGUAGGGGAGCGUUCUGUAAGCCUGUGAAGGUGUACUGUGAGGUAUGCUGGAGGUAUCAGAAGUGCGAAUGCUGACAUAAGUAACGAUAAAGCGGGUGAAAAGCCCGCUCGCCGGAAGACCAAGGGUUCCUGUCCAACGUUAAUCGGGGCAGGGUGAGUCGACCCCUAAGGCGAGGCCGAAAGGCGUAGUCGAUGGGAAACAGGUUAAUAUUCCUGUACUUGGUGUUACUGCGAAGGGGGGACGGAGAAGGCUAUGUUGGCCGGGCGACGGUUGUCCCGGUUUAAGCGUGUAGGCUGGUUUUCCAGGCAAAUCCGGAAAAUCAAGGCUGAGGCGUGAUGACGAGGCACUACGGUGCUGAAGCAACAAAUGCCCUGCUUCCAGGAAAAGCCUCUAAGCAUCAGGUAACAUCAAAUCGUACCCCAAACCGACACAGGUGGUCAGGUAGAGAAUACCAAGGCGCUUGAGAGAACUCGGGUGAAGGAACUAGGCAAAAUGGUGCCGUAACUUCGGGAGAAGGCACGCUGAUAUGUAGGUGAAGUCCCUCGCGGAUGGAGCUGAAAUCAGUCGAAGAUACCAGCUGGCUGCAACUGUUUAUUAAAAACACAGCACUGUGCAAACACGAAAGUGGACGUAUACGGUGUGACGCCUGCCCGGUGCCGGAAGGUUAAUUGAUGGGGUUAGCGCAAGCGAAGCUCUUGAUCGAAGCCCCGGUAAACGGCGGCCGUAACUAUAACGGUCCUAAGGUAGCGAAAUUCCUUGUCGGGUAAGUUCCGACCUGCACGAAUGGCGUAAUGAUGGCCAGGCUGUCUCCACCCGAGACUCAGUGAAAUUGAACUCGCUGUGAAGAUGCAGUGUACCCGCGGCAAGACGGAAAGACCCCGUGAACCUUUACUAUAGCUUGACACUGAACAUUGAGCCUUGAUGUGUAGGAUAGGUGGGAGGCUUUGAAGUGUGGACGCCAGUCUGCAUGGAGCCGACCUUGAAAUACCACCCUUUAAUGUUUGAUGUUCUAACGUUGACCCGUAAUCCGGGUUGCGGACAGUGUCUGGUGGGUAGUUUGACUGGGGCGGUCUCCUCCUAAAGAGUAACGGAGGAGCACGAAGGUUGGCUAAUCCUGGUCGGACAUCAGGAGGUUAGUGCAAUGGCAUAAGCCAGCUUGACUGCGAGCGUGACGGCGCGAGCAGGUGCGAAAGCAGGUCAUAGUGAUCCGGUGGUUCUGAAUGGAAGGGCCAUCGCUCAACGGAUAAAAGGUACUCCGGGGAUAACAGGCUGAUACCGCCCAAGAGUUCAUAUCGACGGCGGUGUUUGGCACCUCGAUGUCGGCUCAUCACAUCCUGGGGCUGAAGUAGGUCCCAAGGGUAUGGCUGUUCGCCAUUUAAAGUGGUACGCGAGCUGGGUUUAGAACGUCGUGAGACAGUUCGGUCCCUAUCUGCCGUGGGCGCUGGAGAAUUGAGGGGGGCUGCUCCUAGUACGAGAGGACCGGAGUGGACGCAUCACUGGUGUUCGGGUUGUCAUGCCAAUGGCACUGCCCGGUAGCUAAAUGCGGAAGAGAUAAGUGCUGAAAGCAUCUAAGCACGAAACUUGCCCCGAGAUGAGUUCUCCCUGACUCCUUGAGAGUCCUGAAGGAACGUUGAAGACGACGACGUUGAUAGGCCGGGUGUGUAAGCGCAGCGAUGCGUUGAGCUAACCGGUACUAAUGAACCGUGAGGCUUAACCUUACAACGCCGAAG
Molecule: ribosomal RNA, 2924 nt
Filed under: Escherichia coli O43 str. RM10042
Lineage: Bacteria; Pseudomonadati; Pseudomonadota; Gammaproteobacteria; Enterobacterales; Enterobacteriaceae
Description: bacterial LSU rRNA
Rfam family: Bacterial large subunit ribosomal RNA
Source: RNAcentral